Molecule: small nucleolar RNA, 95 nt
Filed under: Echinops telfairi (small Madagascar hedgehog)
Lineage: Eukaryota; Metazoa; Chordata; Mammalia; Afrosoricida; Tenrecidae
Description: Small nucleolar RNA SNORA61 (ENSETEG00000025055.1)
Source: RNAcentral
GCCCUCCAAAUUCCUUACCCUUCAGAUUUAGCUAAACAUUGGUCUGAGUGGUCAUGAAAGGGGGAAAGGAAAAUUGAACUACUCGUGACACAUGA